Molecule: long non-coding RNA, 1485 nt
Filed under: Numida meleagris (helmeted guineafowl)
Lineage: Eukaryota; Metazoa; Chordata; Aves; Galliformes; Numididae
Description: lncRNA (ENSNMEG00000007426.1)
Source: RNAcentral
UGUGUCCAAAGGAGGACCACGAAGAUGAUCAAAGGGUUGGAGCAGCUAUGAAGAAAGGUCAAGGGAGUUGGGCUUACUCACCUUAAAGAAGGGAGGCCUCCUUGUAGCCUUCCAAUAUGUAAAGGAAGCUUAUAAAGAAAAGAAAGUGGAGAGUGACUUUUAUCACAUUCAGGUAGUGAUAACACAGCAGGGAAUGGCUUUAAAGUAAGAGAGAGAUUCAGAUUAGAUAUUAAGAGGAAACUUUUCAUGCAGAGAGUGAUGAGACACUAGCAUGAGCUGCUCAGAGAAGCUGUGGAUCCUAAUCCCUGGAGGCUUUCAAGGCCAAGUAGAAUGGGAUACUGGGCAGCCUGAUCUGGUGGGUAGCAGCCUUGCCCAAGGUAGGAAGUAUGAAUUAGAUGAUCUUUAAGGUCUCUUCCAACCCAAUCCUAUGACACUAAUGAUUUUAGGUAGGAAAUCUUCACUUUUUUGUCCUCAGGGCCCUGUACGCAACAAGCAGUGUGAGCAGACAGAAAGGGAAAAAAAGUUACAAGACACAGCUAAGGAACAGAGAUUCUCCAGCAUUGCCUCUGUACUGGAUACAGUUGUCUGCAAUAAUUAUUUGGCUAAGAAUAUCUGCUGUCGGCUCAAAGGCUAUGCAGAAUGAAGAUAGUCAAGAUUUUCCCCUAGGAAAUGACAACAUUUUCUGACUCUUACUGGAAAACUCAUGCACAAACUGCAGUUUUGAACUUAAAAUACUUUAUCCUUUUUCAAAGACUGUCUGUUUCUGCAAAAAAUCACAGCAAGAAGUGACAGAGUUCUUCCUUAAAUUAGACUUUUCUAGGGAAGUUAUACUGACUUUAUUGCAUUCUAUAAUCUCUUUGCACUCACAUAAUUCUCAAGGAUCUUUUUGAUGAUUCUUACUUGUGGGAAUAAUACAAAAUAAUUAGUGCCCAAUAUCAAGAUAUAGCCAAGAGUGUUUCUAAUAACUUAUGUUCUUUAUCUUUUACUUGUUUGCCUCAUCAUUGAAAUCCAUAUGUGCACAAUUGCUAUGAUCUCAUAAUUUCAAAUGUAAAUCCCCACUGUGAGCAUUCUGCAUCAUUAUGCUCCUUUACCCAAGUUUCAAGGGAAACAAUGUGUUUUAACCUUACAGGUCAGCCACACUGAAGAUUUGUACUAGCAUAAUGUUAGAUAAGCUAUCCUUGUAGGAGUACAUUCAGUGUAUUGAAAAUUUACAGAGCAAAUUGGUCACUGAACAUCUCUUACAGUUUGGCAGAGGUCUGAGUUUUUAAAGGUCAUGAAGGUUAACAUUUCUAGUGACCUUUAUAAACACAGUUCUAUAGAUAAAACAUUUUGCUGUGCUGCCAAACAUGUAAAAACCACUACAGCUCUAACUCAUAUUCCUUUAAUGUUGAAAGUUUCCUCUUAAUUACCAUAAAACAAUGUGUAUGAUAGUUUUAAAAACUCCUUUAAUCAUUUUUAAUAAAACCAAACUGGUAUUGUGGUCCA